RNAcentral lists this transfer RNA (68 nucleotides) under Marmota monax (woodchuck). RNAcentral's name for it is "tRNA.Ala". The record is from RNAcentral. Lineage: Eukaryota; Metazoa; Chordata; Mammalia; Rodentia; Sciuridae.
GGAUUGUGGCUCAGCGGUAGAGUGCUCGCCUGGCACGUGCAGGGCACUAGGUUCGAUUCUUAGCACCA